GCGUAUGAGGAGACUGAAAAGGAAGCGCAGAAAGAUGAGACAGAGAUCUAAGUAGAGCAGCAGCAGGGGUCCAGAUGCCUACUGUGGUUUCUUGGUUGAAACUGCUGCUUUUUAUAAUCGCUGUCCAUCUCUGUGGCAGCUCCAAAGAAUGGAGGUUGUCCGUUGUUUGAAGCUGUGCAUUAGUUAAUUUACUAUGUUCUAUGGAGGAGCUUAGUUUUAGUUUUAAGCAUUGGUAGUAAGAAUGUUGGUUUGUGUUGGAUAUAUGUGAGUUAUAUUGAAUGUUCUCUUUCAAGCUGACGUUUUUAAGAGGAUUUCUAUUUGUUUGGGGUUACAUUUCAUUUGAAUAAAUUUUGGCUUUGAACGUUAUUACUUCAUGUGAUGUUCUGAUGAUGUACAAGUGUGAAGUGAAACCCUGGUUGGUUUUGAU
Molecule: unclassified non-coding RNA, 427 nt
Filed under: Hevea brasiliensis (rubber tree)
Lineage: Eukaryota; Viridiplantae; Streptophyta; Magnoliopsida; Malpighiales; Euphorbiaceae
Source: RNAcentral